AAGUUUUGUGUAAAAUGUCGGCGAGCGGCGGACGGCUGAGUAACGCGUGGGAACGUACCCCAAAGUGAGGGAUAACGCAUCGAAAGGUGUGCUAAUACCGCAUAUGGUCUUUGGAUUAAAGCCUUCGGGCGCUUUGGGAACGGCCUGCGUAAGAUUAGAUAGUUGGUGGGGUAAUGGCCUACCAAGUCAACGAUCUUUAACUGGUUUGAGAGGAUGAUCAGUCAGACUGGAACUGAGACACGGUCCAG
This 248-nucleotide ribosomal RNA is filed under the name uncultured Rhodobacterales bacterium. RNAcentral's name for it is "partial 16S ribosomal RNA". It matches the Rfam family "Bacterial small subunit ribosomal RNA", at positions 72 to 334 of the family's 1533-position model. The record is from RNAcentral. Lineage: Bacteria; Pseudomonadati; Pseudomonadota; Alphaproteobacteria; Rhodobacterales.